Molecule: long non-coding RNA, 575 nt
Filed under: Sorghum bicolor (sorghum)
Lineage: Eukaryota; Viridiplantae; Streptophyta; Magnoliopsida; Poales; Poaceae
Description: long non-coding RNA (SBIC_LNC005545)
Source: RNAcentral
CCAACCAUUUAUCUUCCCAAAAAAUUAAGAUGAUUUCACUAAUUAAAUUGAACCUUUCUAUACGAAGAGAAUGGUUCUUGAUUCCCAUAAGACUAAGGCCUUGUUUAGUUCCCAAAAAAUUUUGCAAAACUUUUCAGAUUUCCCGUCACAUCGAAUCUUUAGACGUAUGCAUGGAGUAUUAAAUAUAGACGAAAAUAAAAACUAAUUGCACAGUUUGGUCGAAAUUGACGAUACGAAUCUUUUGAGCCUAGUUAGUCCAUGACUGAACAAUAUUUAUCAAAUACAAACGAAAGUGCUCGAUUUUGCAAAAUUUUUUGGAACUAAACAAGGCCUAAACAAAAAAUGUGAGAGUGAGUCACUAUUUUUCUUAUUUACUUGGUUCAAUAUAUUUUAUUCAUAAAAGUCCUGCCACGUCCCCUCCUUAUUGUAUAGCUCGAAGAGCCAUUUACUUAAAAUGACAGUUCUAUACUUUGAAUUUUCAGACCUUUUUGGCCUUGUUCGUUUGGUUGAUAAGCCAUGACAAAAAGUAUUGUUGGCUGAUUUGUUGUGAGAGAAAAACACUGUUGAAUGACUGA